This 497-nucleotide ribosomal RNA is filed under the name uncultured bacterium. Its description in RNAcentral is "partial 16S ribosomal RNA". It matches the Rfam family "Bacterial small subunit ribosomal RNA", at positions 28 to 507 of the family's 1533-position model. The record is from RNAcentral.
GAUGAACGCUGGCGGCGUGCCUAAUACAUGCAAGUCGAGCGAACAGAUAAGGAGCUUGCUCCUUUGACGUUAGCGGCGGACGGGUGAGUAACACGUGGGUAACCUACCUAUAAGACUGGAAUAACUCCGGGAAACCGGGGCUAAUGCCGGAUAACAUUUAGAACCGCAUGGUUCUAAAGUGAAAGAUGGUUUUGCUAUCACUUAUAGAUGGACCCGCGCCGUAUUAGCUAGUUGGUAAGGUAACGGCUUACCAAGGCAACGAUACGUAGCCGACCUGAGAGGGUGAUCGGCCACACUGGAACUGAGACACGGUCCAGACUCCUACGGGAGGCAGCAGUAGGGAAUCUUCCGCAAUGGGCGAAAGCCUGACGGAGCAACGCCGCGUGAGUGAUGAAGGUCUUCGGAUCGUAAAACUCUGUUAUUAGGGAAGAACAAAUGUGUAAGCAACUGUGCACGUCUUGACGGUACCUAAUCAGAAAGCCACGGCUAACUACGUG